Molecule: ribosomal RNA, 71 nt
Filed under: Aspergillus sydowii
Lineage: Eukaryota; Fungi; Ascomycota; Eurotiomycetes; Eurotiales; Aspergillaceae
Description: partial 28S ribosomal RNA
Source: RNAcentral
UUUUCUUCAGGUUGACCUCGGAUCAGGUAGGGAUACCCGCUGAACUUAAGCAUAUCAAUAAGGCGGAGGAA